UUGACCUCGAAUCAGGUAGGACUACCCGCUGAACUUAAGCAUAUCAAUAAGCGGAGGAAAAGAAACCAACAGGGU
This 75-nucleotide ribosomal RNA is filed under the name Metarhizium robertsii. Its description in RNAcentral is "partial large subunit ribosomal RNA". It matches the Rfam family "Eukaryotic large subunit ribosomal RNA", at positions 1 to 74 of the family's 3401-position model. Lineage: Eukaryota; Fungi; Ascomycota; Sordariomycetes; Hypocreales; Clavicipitaceae. The record is from RNAcentral.